This 387-nucleotide long non-coding RNA is filed under the name Phoenix dactylifera (date palm). RNAcentral describes it as "long non-coding RNA (PDAC_LNC000690)". The record is from RNAcentral. Lineage: Eukaryota; Viridiplantae; Streptophyta; Magnoliopsida; Arecales; Arecaceae.
GAGGUGUUAGUAGCCAGACAUGUGGCUAGAUUUGUGCUUGAGCCCGAGAGUCUAUGGUCCUCGCUGAUGAGGGCUAAGUAUGGCGCCUUCGUACCGGGUGUGCGUGUGGGACGUCGUCAUUCCCCGGUGUGGAGGGAGAUAUGUGCCAGAGCUACGGUGGUGCUUCCGGAGAUCGGAUGGGCUAUUGGCGACGGUCAGUCUAUCGAUGUGAUGGAGGAUAGGUGGGUGACUGAGGUACCACUUUGCUGUAUGCCGACCAUGGUGGACUCGACGAGAUUAGCAGGGUGGAGGGUCAGUGACCUAUUGGAUGCUGAGGGGGGGCGAUGGAGGGAGGAGUUGGUUCGGGAGGUAUUUGGGGAGCAGUUGGCGGAGUUGGUCUUAGCCCGA